GCGGCGUGCUAUACAUGCAGUCGAGCGAACUGAUUAGAAGCUUGCUUCUAUGACGUUAGCGGCGGACGGGUGAGUAACACGUGGGCAACCUGCCUGUAAGACUGGGAUAACUUCGGGAAACCGAAGCUAAUACCGGAUAGGAUCUUCUCCUUCAUGGGAGAUGAUUGAAAGAUGGUUUCGGCUAUCACUUACAGAUGGGCCCGCGGUGCAUUAGCUAGUUGGUGAGGUAACGGCUCACCAAGGCAACGAUGCAUAGCCGACCUGAGAGGGUGAUCGGCCACACUGGGACUGAAACACGGCCCAGACUCCUACGGGAGGCAGCAGUAGGGAAUCUUCCGCAAUGGACGAAAGUCUGACGGAACAACGCCCCGUGAGUGAUGAAGGCUUUCGGGUCGUAAAACUCUGUUGUUAGGGAAGAACAAGUACAAGAGUAACUGCUUGUACCUUGACGGUACCUAACCAGAAAGCCACGGCUAACUACGUGCCAGCACCCGCGGUAAUACGUAGGUGGCAAGCGUUAUCCGGAAUUAUUGGGCGUAAAGCGCGCGCAGGCGGUUUCUUAAGUCUGAUGUGAAACCCCCCGGCUCAACCGGGGAGGGUCAUUGGAAACUGGGGAAACU
RNAcentral lists this ribosomal RNA (620 nucleotides) under Priestia megaterium. RNAcentral describes it as "bacterial SSU rRNA". It matches the Rfam family "Bacterial small subunit ribosomal RNA", at positions 39 to 642 of the family's 1533-position model. The record is from RNAcentral. Lineage: Bacteria; Bacillati; Bacillota; Bacilli; Caryophanales; Bacillaceae.